RNAcentral lists this small nuclear RNA (164 nucleotides) under Lynx canadensis (Canada lynx). RNAcentral describes it as "U4 spliceosomal RNA (ENSLCNG00005014121.1)". The stretch from base 1 to 75 matches the Rfam family "U4 spliceosomal RNA". Lineage: Eukaryota; Metazoa; Chordata; Mammalia; Carnivora; Felidae. The record is from RNAcentral.
AGCUUUGCGCAGUGGCAGUAUCGUAGCCAAUGAGGUUUAUCCGAGGCGCGAUUAUUGCUAAUUGAAAACUAAAGUGCUGGAAGGUGUGAGCCCUGGCUGGAAAUAAGGACUGUCCCUAGCCCACACAGUGGGCAAAAGGGACUGAGGGCUAUUCAGGUCAGUGG